GACGAACGCUGGCGGCGUGCCUAAUACAUGCAAGUUGAGCGCUGAAGGUUGGUACUUGUACCGACUGGAUGAGCAGCGAACGGGUGAGUAACGCGUGGGGAAUCUGCCUUUGAGCGGGGGACAACAUUUGGAAACGAAUGCUAAUACCGCAUAAAAACUUUAAACACAAGUUUUAAGUUUGAAAGAUGCAAUUGCAUCACUCAAAGAUGAUCCCGCGUUGUAUUAGCUAGUUGGUGAGGUAAAGGCUCACCAAGGCGAUGAUACAUAGCCGACCUGAGAGGGUGAUCGGCCACAUUGGGACUGAGACACGGCCCAAACUCCUACGGGAGGCAGCAGUAGGGAAUCUCCGGCAAUGGACGAAAGUCUGACCGAGCAACGCCGCGUGAGUGAAGAAGGUUUUCGGAUCGUAAAACUCUGUUGGUAGAGAAGAACGUUGGUGAGAGUGGAAAGCUCAUCAAGUGACGGUAACUACCCAGAAAGGGACGGCUAACUACGU
This 496-nucleotide ribosomal RNA is filed under the name uncultured bacterium. RNAcentral describes it as "partial 16S ribosomal RNA". It matches the Rfam family "Bacterial small subunit ribosomal RNA", at positions 28 to 506 of the family's 1533-position model. The record is from RNAcentral.